Molecule: ribosomal RNA, 465 nt
Filed under: Vreelandella stevensii
Lineage: Bacteria; Pseudomonadati; Pseudomonadota; Gammaproteobacteria; Oceanospirillales; Halomonadaceae
Description: partial 16S ribosomal RNA
Rfam family: Bacterial small subunit ribosomal RNA
Source: RNAcentral
CCUACGGGUGGCAGCAGUGGGGAAUAUUGGACAAUGGGCGAAAGCCUGAUCCAGCCAUGCCGCGUGUGUGAAGAAGGCCUUCGGGUUGUAAAGCACUUUCAGUGGGGAAGAAAGCCUUGGGGCUAAUACCCUCGAGGAAGGACAUCACCCACAGAAGAAGCACCGGCUAACUCCGUGCCAGCAGCCGCGGUAAUACGGAGGGUGCGAGCGUUAAUCGGAAUUACUGGGCGUAAAGCGCGCGUAGGCGGUCUGAUAAGCCGGUUGUGAAAGCCCCGGGCUCAACCUGGGAACGGCAUCCGGAACUGUCAGGCUAGAGUGCAGGAGAGGAAGGUAGAAUUCCCGGUGUAGCGGUGAAAUGCGUAGAGAUCGGGAGGAAUACCAGUGGCGAAGGCGGCCUACUGGACUGACACUGACGCUGAGGUGCGAAAGCGUGGGUAGCAAACAGGAUUAGAUACCCUAGUAGUC